GAUGAAGAACGUAGCGAAAUGCGAUACUUGGUGUGAAUUGCAGAAUCCCGUGAACCAUCGAGUCUUUGAACGCAAGUUGCGCCCGAAGCCACUAGGCCGAGGGCACGCCUGCCUGGGCGUCACACGCCGUUGCCCCCCCAUCUACUCCUUCGGGAUUGCGGGGGGGCGGAUGAUGGCCUCCCGUGCGCCUAGCCGCGCGGUUGGCAUAAAUACCAAGUCCUCGGCGACGCACGCCACGACAAUCGGUGGUUGCGAAACCUCGGUUGCCCGUCGUGUGCGUUCGUCGCGCAUCGAGGGCUCGAAAAAAUGCUCGGCUCCGGCUGGGCUUUCAACGCGACCCCAGGUCAGGCGGGGUUACCCGCUGAAUUUAAGCAUAUCAAUAAGCGGAG
RNAcentral lists this unclassified non-coding RNA (389 nucleotides) under soil metagenome. RNAcentral's name for it is "partial contains 5.8S ribosomal RNA, internal transcribed spacer 2, and large subunit ribosomal RNA". The stretch from base 1 to 122 matches the Rfam family "5.8S ribosomal RNA", at positions 35 to 154 of the family's 154-position model. The record is from RNAcentral.